RNAcentral lists this long non-coding RNA (323 nucleotides) under Gallus gallus (chicken). Lineage: Eukaryota; Metazoa; Chordata; Aves; Galliformes; Phasianidae. The record is from RNAcentral.
CGCGGCGCGGGGCGCUGUGGGAGAGGAAGGGCGCGGCCGGAAGCGGAAGAGAUUUUCCCUCACAUAAUGCAUCGGAUGGAAGUAUUCUUGGAUGAAAUGGCUGCAUAUGGAAAGAGCUGCAUCUGUGGAACCCAUAAUCUCAUUUGUCUCUGAAGCUGGAACUGAAACAAAACUAGGGCUGAACCAAGUCACGCCACAUUCCUGAAUUUCACUUGGUUAAAAUGCUAUGACUGAAUGCUGCUCCUGGCUCCCUGAUGGCAGGAUCCACACUGAGGGGCCGUUCCACAGAAACACCACUGGAAGAUGUCAGCAUGUACCCUGAG